AUUCCCAAACUAGCACUCAAAGUCAAAAGUCACAAAAAUAGCACUCAAGGGGUGGGGUUUAGGAUUUAGAAUUUAGGGUUUAGGAUUUAGAGUUUAGGUUUUAGGGUUUAGAGUUGAGAAUUGAGGUUUUGGGGAUAAGAUUUCAAAUUUGAAAAAUAAAAAAAAUUAAAUUUUUCAAAAGAUAAAAUGUUAUUUUGGUCAUUUUAGUUU
Molecule: long non-coding RNA, 210 nt
Filed under: Brassica napus (rape)
Lineage: Eukaryota; Viridiplantae; Streptophyta; Magnoliopsida; Brassicales; Brassicaceae
Description: long non-coding RNA (BNAP_LNC006798)
Source: RNAcentral